GAGGACCUAGAGAGGGUGUACAAGGAUCCCUCCCAUGGCUCAGUGAUUGUGUUUACCACUGGAAGAUUCACCUAUGAAGUCAAUUUGGAAGUCUUGAUCCAGAUAAAUACAAGCUCACACACCCAAAGACUGGUAAGAAGAAGGCCGAUCUUCAAAUCAUCCAGAGAUGUUCAGAGAGUUACUGGCAUAUCUAAUACCAAAACUUCAUCUGUGCCACCUUUCUGGGACCAGUCUCGGUUGCCUGGGAUUGGCUUUGAGAGAGUUAUGUUGCCAAACUCAGCAAAGGAAUACAAAGACAUCAAAGCCCAUUUUGAGAAAACAACAGUGGGGUUUCACAUACUCACCAUCGAGAGAGUGCAAAACCCUAUCCUAUGGAAGUUCUAUGUGCUGCAAAGAGAUCAGAUGGAAUCCUCAGGGACAAGCAUCAAUGAGAAGCAGCUUUUCCAUGGAACUGACUCCAAACAUGUUGACAGCAUUUGCAGAAACAACUUUGACUGGAGGCUAUGUGGAACAAAUGGUACUUCAUUUGGAAAAGGAAGUUACUUUGCCAAGGAUGCUAAGUACUCACACAGCUACACCAGCCAGUCAGGAGUGAGGUCCAUGUUUGUUUGUCAAGUGCUGGUGGGAGACUACACUGUGGGAAACUCCAGCUAUGUGAAACCACCUCCUAAAGAAACCGGAGGAUCCAUCUUCUAUGACAGCUGUGUGGACAACAUCCAAGACCCCAAAGUAUUUGUAGUUUUUGAAAAGUAUCAGGUUUACCCCGAAUACCUCAUACAGUACAGUGAUACUGCUUCUCCACCAAACAGAACACCCCAGACAAAUCCCGUUGUCCAACCAAACAGAACAACCCAGCCAAAUCCCGUUGUCCAACCAAACAGAAUACCCCAGCCAAAUCCCGUUGUCCAACCGAACAGUACUCCCCAGCCAAAUCCCGUUGUCCAACCGAACAGUACUCCCCAGCAAAAUCCCGUUGUCCAACCGAACAGUACUCCCCAGCAAAAUCCCGUUGUCCAACCGAACAGUACUCCCCAGCAAAAUUCUAAUGCCUCAGAUUCAGAAGACCCUGAAUGUAAUUGUUGUUGUUUGUGUUUAGGCUAUAUCUUUUGUUGGCCAUGUGGCAUCUACUUUUAUUUCUGUCACGAUGACGAUUGACCAGGCCUUGAUGUAUACAGGUGCACUCUAGCAAGGCACUUAAGCCCAAUUCCUCCAGGGGUGCUGAUAUGGCUGACCCUGGCUCUGACCCCAUCUUUCUGAGGGUCAGGGUUUCUGUUAGCCGAAAAAUGCCAGCUUUUGGCCGAAAACAAAUGGAAAGCCGAUAAAUAAAAUGGUUGCUGGCCAAAUUGACCAGGAGAAAAAACAAUAGUAGGCAGGCUAUCAGCGGGUCACCCACCACUUUACAAUGUGAGCUGGAGGCAGUAUGCAUUUUGAAAACAUACAAAUUGUUUUAAACCUGAACUUUUUACUUCAUAUUAUGAACCAUGUCUUACCUUGCUUGGAAAUCCGACCAUAGAAAGGUGGACGCAAUUAUUUUAUAAAGACUUCAUAGGCAUCAUGUGAGUCUCAAGUUUGGGGAAGCAUAGGCUUACAAUUUAUCCCACCAUUUCUACUGAUCUGGGUGUCAGUUAUGAUUUUCACAUGUGCAUUUUCAUGGAUCAAUUUAAUUUCAAUAAUAUCGUUUUCCUUUCUCAAAAUCAUUGUCAAGUGGUUAAUAAUGCAAAUCAUAAUUUAAAUGAUCAAAAUAUAAAAGUUAGAAUUCAACUAAUGCUAGAGCACCAGCCUCGCCAUAUUAUGGACACAUUGAUACACCGUGAUCAUUUGAGGAUAAAUAGACUAAAGAAGCACAUAGGACUCAGAGAAUGCCAAUGCAGCCGUUGGCCUUUAAUUUCCAUUUUCAACUAUAGUAAAAAUACAUAAAGCCUACAAAUAAAAACAGUAGAAAAUAUA
This is a long non-coding RNA of Coregonus clupeaformis (lake whitefish), 1947 nucleotides long. RefSeq lists it as uncharacterized. Lineage: Eukaryota; Metazoa; Chordata; Actinopteri; Salmoniformes; Salmonidae. The transcript has 6 exons. The record is from RefSeq and is a predicted model, not a curated record.